This 2044-nucleotide small RNA is filed under the name Pan troglodytes (chimpanzee). Its description in RNAcentral is "retained intron". Lineage: Eukaryota; Metazoa; Chordata; Mammalia; Primates; Hominidae. The record is from RNAcentral.
UACUAAAUGAUAUUUAUUUCACUAUAUCCCAUGUGCUCUGACUCUGAGGCUUCAAGGUUUGAAGGGGGCUAAACAUGAAAUACAAGUUCCCCUGGAAUUCAGACUGGUUGAAUCCAAGCAGUUUCACUGGCCAAGAAAACCUUUGUUUUGGCCGGGCACAGUGGUUCACGCCUGAAAUCCCAGCACUUUGGAAGGCUGAGGCGGGUGGAUCUCCUGAGGUAAGGAGUUUGAGACCAUCCUGGCCAGCAAGGUGAAACUCUGUCUCUACUAAAAAUACAAAAAUCAGCCCGGCAUGGUGGCGGGUGCCUGUAAUCCCAGCUACUCAGGAGGCUGAGGCAGGAGGAUCACUUGAACCCAGGAGGCAGAGGUUGCAGUGAGCUGAGAUCGCACCACUGCCCUCCCAGCCUGGGCAACAGAAUAAAUGAGACUCCGUCUCCAAAAAAACAAGAAAAAGAAAAGAAAGAAAGAAAACCUCCUUUAUGUUUUAAAUAUUACUGUUUUCCCAAAGGAAAAAAGUUUGUAACUUUUGGAACAUAAUGACAUUGUCAAACUCAUGAACUCAGCUCUAAAAAGAAGGCAACAUAAGCCAGGGUUCAGAUUCUUCUUGAGCUGGGUAAAAAUACAACACUUUCAGUUUAAGAGAAACUAAAAACAAAGAAAACAAUUAAGUACAUUGUUUCAAUUUAACUGAUAAAAUUUCAAUGGUAACAACCAGUAGCACCAACUAUCACAACCCAUUCAAUAAUCUACUCCUAACACCCUUUUAACAAUUAUUAUUCCUGACUAAUGGCCCAGGCAUAUCCAAUUUUUCUUUUCUAUCUCCUCCCUGGACAACUUGAAGCAGACAUUUGAAUCUGCAUUUUCAAAAUGAACGUUCCAACAUAUGCGAGCCUGCAAUGAAAAAUUACACUGUAGCAUUUAAUAACUAAUCUAAAAAACAAAUGUAACAGCAAUCAAUAUUAAACUCCUGUUAAUCUUCCCACUUCAGGUAGCAUAAUUACAAUCUAGAGAGUGGUAUAGUACAUUUAUGCUGUCUUUAAAGAACAUGUGUACAAAAUGUCACUAAAUUUGAUAUGGGCUGUCAUAGACAAUAUAGCUUCAUAUGCAAAUUUGAAGCUGGAGCACUGCUUUUUUCUAAUAUGUAUUAUAAUAAUGGUGAUAAUAAUAAAAUGGCUUUAUGGUUUGCUCACUACUAAUUACAUGGCACUUAACAUUUGCAUGAAUUUUUUUUAAAAAACUGAUAACUAUUCUCAAUUUCUUAUCCACUAGUUCUAAUGGCCAUAAAAGUAGCCUGCCACUUUCGCUGAAUUUUAACACAAACUCUUGUACUACAGAAAAUGUAGGCCGGUUAAUCACUCCUGCCAAAAAGCUUGAAGAUACAAUACGUCUUGCUGAACUAGUCAUUGAAGUUCUUCAGCAAAAUGAGGAGCACCAUGCAGAGGCCUUUGCGUGGUGGUCAGAUUUAAUGGUGGAGCAUGCGGAGACGUUCCUGUCACUCUUUGCAGUAGACAUGGAUGCAGCCUUAGAGGUGCAACCUCCAGACACAUGGGACAGUUUUCCACUAUUUCAGCUGCUGAAUGAUUUUCUCCGUACUGACUAUAAUUUGUGCAAUGGAAAAUUUCACAAACACCUGCAAGACCUGUUUGCCCCACUUGUUGUUAGAUAUGUGGAUCUGAUGGAGUCCUCAAUUGCACAAUCCAUUCACAGGGGCUUUGAGCGGGAGUCAUGGGAACCAGUCAAUAAUGGGUCAGGCACCUCAGAAGAUCUGUUUUGGAAACUUGACGCCCUUCAGACCUUCAUUCGGGACCUGCACUGGCCUGAAGAAGAGUUUGGAAAGCACCUGGAACAACGGCUGAAGUUGAUGGCAAGUGACAUGAUCGAAUCUUGUGUCAAAAGAACCAGGAUUGCAUUUGAAGUUAAGCUGCAAAAAACCAGUCGAUCAACAGAUUUUCGAGUCCCACAGUCAAUAUGCACCAUGUUUAAUGUUAUGGUUGAUGCCAAAGCUCAAUCAACAAAACUUUGCAGCAUGGAAAUGGGCCAAGAG